This 465-nucleotide ribosomal RNA is filed under the name Vreelandella stevensii. Its description in RNAcentral is "partial 16S ribosomal RNA". It matches the Rfam family "Bacterial small subunit ribosomal RNA", at positions 338 to 795 of the family's 1533-position model. The record is from RNAcentral. Lineage: Bacteria; Pseudomonadati; Pseudomonadota; Gammaproteobacteria; Oceanospirillales; Halomonadaceae.
CCUACGGGGGGCUGCAGUGGGGAAUAUUGGACAAUGGGGGGAACCCUGAUCCAGCCAUGCCGCGUGUGUGAAGAAGGCCCUCGGGUUGUAAAGCACUUUCAGUGAGGAAGAACGCCUGGUGGUUAAUACCCAUCAGGAAAGACAUCACUCACAGAAGAAGCACCGGCUAACUCCGUGCCAGCAGCCGCGGUAAUACGGAGGGUGCGAGCGUUAAUCGGAAUUACUGGGCGUAAAGCGCGCGUAGGUGGCUUGAUAAGCCGGUUGUGAAAGCCCCGGGCUCAACCUGGGAACGGCAUCCGGAACUGUCAAGCUAGAGUGCAGGAGAGGAAGGUAGAAUUCCCGGUGUAGCGGUGAAAUGUGUAGAGAUCGGGAGGAAUACCAGUGGCGAAGGCGGCCUUCUGGACUGACACUGACACUGAGGUGCGAAAGCGUGGGUAGCAAACAGGAUUAGAUACCCCUGUAGUC